UUUAAGAUUCAUUAAAAAAGAAAAGAAAGAAUUAACAAGAUAAAGAUGCUUUUAAUAAAGUUGUGCACGUACGUAUCUACAACUUGGACAAGCCUACAAAAUCUUCCUUCUGAUCCACACAAAUGAGCCAAGAACCAGAUCAUGGAACUCCUCUUUAGCUUUGAUAAGGGUCUCCAUCAAAUUACGUCACAAAAAAUAGAGGUAACAUUAUGAAAAUCAAUUGCAACAUAUUCAUCCAAAUUUUUCUAAGAUGAUCUCUUGCACAAGGUGCUCAUUCACUGCCUGGUGUGUCCAGCAUUUUUCAACACUUGGCUUUUUUAGCCUCUAUCAAUGCAUUGACUGGUCAGUGUACCUUUGUCAAUGAUCCACUCGCCUAUUAUGUAUGGUCCAUCUCAUUUUUAUAUUUGUUAUUACUUAUCUUUAUGUCUUUGUCAAUGCUUAAAAUCCUUGUUAACUAAACCAUACAGUUAUUGGGACUUAUUCAGCUCAUAAUUUUCAAAAAAUAUGGAUGAUUUAGAAACAUUUUUACCAUCUCAUUAAAAUCUACAUUAUUUAAUCAUCGUUUACGAGUCAUUAUAGUCAUAUCUAUCCAUAGUUUCUUAACUUGAUUGAGCUCACUCACUAUCAACGAUAAUUUCUCUUUCAAGCAAACCCAAUAAACUUUGAAAAGAUAUUCCUAGCCAAUUUAGUCAUCAAAAUCUACUUGAACUUCUAUAAAUUAUUUCACUAUAAUAUCAAUCUAAAGUGCAAGGGCAUUACUAGAAUGUUUGGUCAAGCAAAGAAAUAGUAAAAAAAAAAUAAUAAUAAUAAUAAUAAUAAUAAUAAUAAUAAUAAUAAUAAUAAUAAUAAUGUUUUAAUAAAUGGUAAAGCUUCAGCCAGGGAAAUAAAAAAUGGUCAAUAGGCUAAACUAGUAAUCUAAAAGCAAAAAACGUUACUGGUUGACACCUUGGUCGUUUCUCUUUUCCUUGUUGAUACCUUGGCUGAUUUUUAAAAUUAUUUUUCCCCCUUUUUUAAGCUUAACCAAAUAUGAUAGUAGUGUGGUUCCAAUAUUAAGAUGUUAUUCUAGUGAAAUUAUUUACGAAGAUUCAAGUAGAUUUUGAUAACAAAACUAGUUUGGAGUAUUUAAAGUGCAUUGAGUUUGCUUGAAAGAGAAGCUAUCCUUGACAAUGAUCGGUCUCACUCAAGCUAAGAAACCAUGGAAAGAUAUGGCUACGACGCCUUGUAAACGUAUAUUAUAUGAGAUAGAUCUUAAUGACAUGAUAAAAAAAGCUUCUAACUUAUACAUGUUUUCAUUGAAUAUUUUAAGCUAAAUAAGUCCUAAGAACUGCAUUUUGUAGUCUUUAAGAUAAGAUGAGCUAUAAUAUAUAAAAGACACGUCAAUUGUAGUAAAUGGUGCAUACUAGUCGUGCAUUGACAAAGAGCUUAGGAAAGUCAAGCGUUGAAAAAGGAUAGAGAAACCAAAUAUUAACAGGUAGUAAAUGGAUUUCUAAAGACCUCAUGCAAAAGAGACCAUGCCAGAAAAAUUUAAAUAAAUAUGCUAUAAUUGAUUUUCAUAACAUUAGUUUGAAUUACUUGCGAGAUUGAUUGUUGAAAAAUAACUGCAUCAACAACUCAAAGCAUACAAUUAGCACAAAAUAGUCAAAUAAAAUAAGUAAUACAAAUUUUGCCAUUCAAUUCAAUUACAAAAUGCAAGUAACUUUAAUACUGAGCAGGACAAAAUAACGAUAACUAAGCAGAACAGAAAAAUGAAAACUAAACAUAGCAAAAAAUGAGAUAAUCACAAUAUGCUUUAAAUUAAAUUAUUAUAGUUAGCUUCAAACCAUAUUAUACCAGAAAAGGUAAUCCAUUCUGUUGGAACCAUGUUCAUCAAAUUAUUCCAUUUAAUUUCUGCUCAUAUUAAAAAUGCUCAAUUAGGGAGAAAUUAAUUCUUUCCAUUCCAAUACAACUCUCGAGUAGAUUUUUCCAAGCCCCCCACCCAAUAACUUUCCAUGCUUGUGAGUUUUGUAUAAGAAAAUGAGAAAAUGAAAGAAGCAACAUAAACUUAAAGAACUGAAGACGUGAUGAUUUCCGAGCAUCGAAGAAGUUGAGCUUCGAAAGAAUCAAACUAGAAAUGAAGAAGAAAAGGCAAGAAAAUGAUUUGGAAAGGGAAGAGAAAAUUCGUGAGGUGGCUCAGAUGAAGUUAUACACCCUAAGUGAUGAGAUGACUUGAGCAGAAAUAAAAUGCGUACGGUUUUUUUAAAAUUGACCUUGCGAAACCGAGAAAACCAAUGGGUCCCUGUUCAACCAAGCUAGCUCAGUGGUUCGCAAUCGGUAUUCUAUCGUACAGUUUUUAAAGGCUAACCAGACCGAUUCCUAGUUCUCAAACCAACUGGUCCUUCCCAUUUUUGGUAAUAUUGGUAAAAGUUACUUUGUUCCAAACAAGUUUUGAUGACAACCUACAUCAUGUUUGGCUAAGCUUAAAUGGGUGCUUAAAAGGAUCUUUUUAGCAUAUGUGAGAUGAUGCUAUCAGAAAACGUGUUUUUAAGCUUCACCAAACAUGCCCCUUACUCUUGCUUUUAAGCUUAUGAAGUUACUUAUUUUGAAAGUUACUCUCACCGAACUUUCAAAACGAA
Molecule: long non-coding RNA, 2612 nt
Filed under: Olea europaea subsp. europaea
Lineage: Eukaryota; Viridiplantae; Streptophyta; Magnoliopsida; Lamiales; Oleaceae
Source: RNAcentral